AUUGAACGCUGGCGGCAGGCCUAAUACAUGCAAGUCGAACGAGAGGCGGACGGGUGAGCAAUGUCUGGGAAACUGCCUGAUGGAGGGGGAUUACUACUGUAAAAGGUAGCUAAUACCGCAUACCAUUAGAUGUGCCGAGAUGGGCUUAGCUUGGUGGUGGGGUAACGGCCCACCAAGGCGACGAUCCCUAGCUGGUCUGAGAGGAUGACCAGCCACACUGGAACUGUGACACGGUCCAGACUCCUACGAGAGGCAGCAGUGGGGAAUAUUGCACAAUGGGCGCAAGCCUGAUGCAGCCAUGCCGCGUGUAUGAAGAAGGCCUUCGGGGUGUAAAGUACUUUCAGCGGAGAGGCGUUACCCACAGAGGAAGCACCGGCUAACUCCGUGCCAGCAGCCGCGGUAAUAC
This 406-nucleotide ribosomal RNA is filed under the name uncultured bacterium. RNAcentral's name for it is "partial 16S ribosomal RNA". It matches the Rfam family "Bacterial small subunit ribosomal RNA", at positions 30 to 526 of the family's 1533-position model. The record is from RNAcentral.